RNAcentral lists this ribosomal RNA (490 nucleotides) under Streptococcus mutans. RNAcentral describes it as "bacterial SSU rRNA". It matches the Rfam family "Bacterial small subunit ribosomal RNA", at positions 221 to 703 of the family's 1533-position model. Lineage: Bacteria; Bacillati; Bacillota; Bacilli; Lactobacillales; Streptococcaceae. The record is from RNAcentral.
GUAGAUGGACCUGCGUUGUAUUAGCUAGUUGGUAAGGUAAGAGCUUACCAAGGCGACGAUACAUAGCCGACCUGAGAGGGUGAUCGGCCACACUGGGACUGAGACACGGCCCAGACUCCUACGGGAGGCAGCAGUAGGGAAUCUUCGGCAAUGGACGAAAGUCUGACCGAGCAACGCCGCGUGAGUGAAGAAGGUUUUCGGAUCGUAAAGCUCUGUUGUAAGUCAAGAACGUGUGUGAGAGUGGAAAGUUCACACAGUGACGGUAGCUUACCAGAAAGGGACGGCUAACUACGUGCCAGCAGCCGCGGUAAUACGUAGGUCCCGAGCGUUGUCCGGAUUUAUUGGGCGUAAAGGGAGCGCAGGCGGUCAGGAAAGUCUGGAGUAAAAGGCUAUGGCUCAACCAUAGUGUGCUCUGGAAACUGUCUGACUUGAGUGCAGAAGGGGAGAGUGGAAUUCCAUGUGUAGCGGUGAAAUGCGUAGAUAUAUGGAG